Molecule: long non-coding RNA, 758 nt
Organism: Etheostoma spectabile (orangethroat darter)
Lineage: Eukaryota; Metazoa; Chordata; Actinopteri; Perciformes; Percidae
Exons: 3
Source: RefSeq, a predicted model, not a curated record
AUUUAGGACCACCAAGUAAAGGGACCACCACAUCCUUAAAACUGGACGUAAUUACGUAGACGUCAUCGUGCAGCGUCCUUAUAUGCGUCACAUCCCCGGAUGUCGGUCUUUUUUUCAUAGCAAAGGUAAGACUCCCUUGCCCUGGUGUUUCUGUUGGAAUAAAAUCUGUUUGCAUCUGUGUUACAGAAUAAAAACUAGAGUCUCCAAAUGUCAGGAGAUGAAUCCUUGUAUUUAGACGAUGCAUUAGACAUCGUUAUUACUAUGAUUCGUCCGUCAUGAGUAUAAUAAUGAACAGUUUGUUCUAUCGGUAGUCCUAGGCCGCCGGUUAGCCUUCGUGCUGGCCACAACGUUAGCUAGCUAGCUGGCUAAUAGAAACGUGUUGUCCUUCGUCAGUCUUCUGUACUGUGUUACCAUAUAUUACCAUGUUAUUCCGUUGUCACGUACUUACAUUUACCUAUAAAACAUUAAAUUGUCAGUUUGAAGAGACAAGUGGCUAGCUAGCCAGUAAAGCGCCGUUUCAGUGCUAUGUUGCUAAUUUCUAGCUUACGUUACUUUUUAUGCAGUUCAGCAGUGGUUGUGGUGUUAGCGCUCAACCAAACACGUUUUGUUUUGUGGUAUGGUUGUGAUGUUUUAACAAUUGUGUAAAAUGGUUGUGAUAGUCUUUUGUUUACAAAUGCUGUUUGUAAUUUUGAUUGAGAACAUGAUUUGUUACUUGAAGACUGCAACUUAGUAAUGAUACAGUGCUAGUCGUGUGUAGU